GACGAACGCUGGCGGCGUGCUUAACACAUGCAAGUCGAACGAAGUGGCGAACGGGUGAGUAACGAGUAAUCAACCUGCCCUUCAGAGGGGGACAACAGUUGGAAACGACUGCUAAUACCGCCUACUGUAGGAGGGGAUUGCGUCUGAUUAGCUAGUUGGAGGGGUAAAGGGCUACCAAGGGGAUGAUCAGUAACCUGGCUGGGAGGAUGAACGGCCACAUGGGGACUGAGGCACGGCCCAAGCUCCUACGGGGGGCAGCAGUGGGGAAUCUUCCGCAAUGGACGGAAGUCUGGCGGAGCAACGCCGCGUGAGUGAUGACGGCCUUCGGGUUGGAAAGCUCUGUUAAUCGGGACGCGGUACCGGAAUAGAAAGCCACGGCUAACUACGUGCCAGCAGCCGCGGUAAUAC
This 408-nucleotide ribosomal RNA is filed under the name uncultured bacterium. RNAcentral describes it as "partial 16S ribosomal RNA". It matches the Rfam family "Bacterial small subunit ribosomal RNA", at positions 28 to 526 of the family's 1533-position model. The record is from RNAcentral.